Diabrotica virgifera virgifera (western corn rootworm) is the source of this 476-nucleotide long non-coding RNA. RefSeq lists it as uncharacterized. The transcript is spliced from 2 exons. The record is from RefSeq and is a predicted model, not a curated record. NCBI's taxonomy places the organism in Eukaryota, Metazoa, Arthropoda, Insecta, Coleoptera, Chrysomelidae.
GAUAGAUAUGCAUGUUUACAAUCGAAUUCCAUAUUUACUUAAUUUUCAUAAAAUUUUGAGUUACUGCAGUCUUGCACUGAGGGUGCGACAUGUCGACGGUCGAAAGGACUUGCGCCAUUGAGGGUAAGAAUGAUGCCACAUGCCAUGUGAUCAAGUGAAAAGUGAAGCCGCCUUCACCUCAUCAACCUACCAAAAUUUUGGCUCUCUGAUAUGGCGCCAAAAUAAUAUACUCACAAAAUUGAUAAUCAUGGCCAAGCUUUUUCGAUCAGAGUAAUUGUGACUAACCUUGAGCUUCUUAAAAACACUGACACUGACGCAAAAUCAGAAACUGUGAUCAUCAAAAUAUGUUUUAAUUUUAACAAGGAAUAGAGUCAACCACCGCAUGGCCUUCAAUUUACAAAGCUUUGCAAGUUUAUCAAAAAAACUGUUUACAUUUCCGGAAAUUUGAAAUUAAUCAAUAAAACACUCGAAACUUU